UAUCUGCUGCCUGCAGGCAGCCAGGGGGCAGCGCGCCCAGAGCAUCUGUGGUAAAGUUACUGCGGUAGUAGAGAAUACAGGUAAAGAAAUAAAAGAGAAAAAGGAAUGGAGGAGCAACCAUCCCCUGUUUUUUACUACUACCCUCUGCUAGUGGUACCACCACCCCUAGUCCUGUAUGUUCCCCCCACCCACGGCACCCCCCGCCUGCUGCGCCCCCCGCGGUGUUCACCACUGCCGAUGAGCACAGCGGCACCACCGCUGCCAGCGCAUAAAAUAUGAGCAAUAGCGCAGGCAGACGCUGCAUGCCAGACCUGACCUCCAGCAUAUGCAGCAUCCCGGGUGACAUAUAGAAGACUUUCCAGAUUGGAAAUCGAGAAGGAUCAGUAAGGAGAAAAAUCAUCAAGGAUCCACCCACCAGGAGAAGC
Alligator sinensis (Chinese alligator) is the source of this 425-nucleotide long non-coding RNA. RefSeq lists it as uncharacterized. NCBI's taxonomy places the organism in Eukaryota, Metazoa, Chordata, Crocodylia, Alligatoridae. The transcript has 3 exons. The record is from RefSeq and is a predicted model, not a curated record.